UGCUGUGCAGCCUGGUUCCUAAUAGGUC
This 28-nucleotide non-coding RNA is filed under the name Homo sapiens (human). The record is from RNAcentral. Lineage: Eukaryota; Metazoa; Chordata; Mammalia; Primates; Hominidae.